RNAcentral lists this long non-coding RNA (1906 nucleotides) under Homo sapiens (human). RNAcentral describes it as "HSALNT0274013". Lineage: Eukaryota; Metazoa; Chordata; Mammalia; Primates; Hominidae. The record is from RNAcentral.
CUUCAUUGAUGUGUUGCACCAAGGAGAAUGUGAAACCCAAGGGUCCACCUGCCUCCUCUCCAGCCUGGCCCAGAAAGCACCUUUGAAAGCGCACGAUCAGAAGGGUGGCUGUUCCCGCCACCAGCACGAAGAUGGCCACCACAAUAAGGACCACAUAACCGGCACCCAGGCCUGCUUCUGCAUGAGGAGGCUCACCUCGGGGAGGAGACAGGCACAGCACCAGCCAAAGGGUGGCAACAACUGAAGUGUCCACCAACAGGUGAAUGAAUCCAUACAUUGUGGCCCCACCGUGCAAUGGAACAUGACCCAACCGUGAAAGGAGUAAAGCGCUGACCCACUGCAACGUAAAUGAACCUUGAAGAUGUCACGCUGAGUGAAAGCACUGAGUGAAGGAAGCCAGGCCCAAGAGGCACCAAUAACAUGACCCUGUUCAUAGGAACUACCCGGAACUGAACAGAAAGCAAACGAGUGACUUUCAGAGACAGGGGGAAGGUGGAUGGGGAGGGACUCAUGCGUAUGAAGUUGCAUUUAGGGUGAGGAAAAUGUUUUGAAACUACAUGGAGUUGGUGGCUAUAAAACACUCUCAAUGUACUAAACACCACUGAGUCGUUUACUCUAACACAGUUAGCUUGAGGUUACGUGAAUUUCAUCUCAGUUUAAUUUUUUAAAAACUGUGCUGCCUGAGAAAGAUGCCAGCUGCCUGCUGGCUCUCUGGCUGGCCCCUAUGAGCCCAGGGGGAGAUGUGACCCUCUGCCCACCGUGUGUGGGUAUAAUUCGUUGUCAAGGGCGUCUAUAGCCAGGUCACAGCCACAUCCUGCACCACCCAGUCCCCUCCAUCUCAGGGUGUUCAUCCCCACAUAUCAGGAAGGUCUGCAUUGGAAACAGCCUUUCUGUGCAACCAGGAGCAUCUGAGAUCCCAUUUUCAUUCCCUGUAUUGAUUUCCGGGCAGUCUGCCCAGAGUGGACGCUGCUGUGUGUCCCCCAGGGAACAGCAUGGAGCGUCACCAUCAGCAAAGCCAUCCAACAAUGGCACUGUCGGAUCCCUGGGGUGCUGAACAUAAGCCAGCUAGAACCACACCAUCCCUCCUCCAGAGAGAGGGACAGGGAACACCUCCCACCCUCCAGCCAAAGUGACUCCACCCUCCCCAAGAAACCGAGGCCCCCAGAUCCCGGCCGGCCACUUCCCCAGACAACUCCUAAAUCACGAUGGACACUAAAUCCAGCCCCCAGGGGCUCUGUAGUGGACCUUCCUCCUGGGCCUCGAGUGACGGGCCACCUUGCCAGCACAAGGGGGGGUGCCGCCCUGAGGAUGCAGAGUAGAAAGACCAAGGAGACCCGCUCCUGCUGGCCCUUUGCAGCCCGGAAUGGCCCUGGACUCUCAGCCCUGGGAAAGACCCAUCCCUGUUCAGUUGCCACCUCUCCAGCUAGGUUUCUGUGACCUGCAGCUGUGUGCUCCGAACUGAACCACUAGCUCAGGGCUGGCCACAGGGGGUCCACAGGCCAGUGCUGCCCACUGACUGACACCAAAGUCCAGGAAUGGUUACUCCCCAUGGCCAGAUUAGCUAGAAGUGGAGAGCAAGCCCUGAAAACUGUGGAUGGUAAUUUCCCACAGCCACUGGUGAGGCAUCCUGCCAAACAGGGCAUCUAUCUCCCUGUUCAGGGAGGCUCCAUGCGUGUGGCAUGAGCUGUGUAUGCAUCGUGACCGUUGGACCACAUGUCAGUCCACGAUGCGGGGGAAAUUUAAAUGACGGCUGAAAUUCAGCAAUGGCUGCUUUUGUAAAGGGGGAUAUAACCCAGUGAGGGAAAGGGAAGAAGGCAUGUGAGGCUUAAAACCUAGAUGAUGGGUUGAUGGGUGCAGCAAACCACCGUGGCACAUGUACACCUAUGUAACAACCUGCACGUUCUGC